UACGAAGGGGGCUAGCGUUGCUCGGAAUCACUGGGCGUAAAGGGUGCGUAGGCGGGUCUUUAAGUCAGGGGUGAAAUCCUGGAGCUCAACUCCAGAACUGCCUUUGAUACUGAAGAUCUUGAGUUCGGGAGAGGUGAGUGGAACUGCGAGUGUAGAGGUGAAAUUCGUAGAUAUUCGCAAGAACACCAGUGGCGAAGGCGGCUCACUGGCCCAAUACUGACGCUGAGGCACGAAAACGUGGGGAGCAAACAGG
Molecule: ribosomal RNA, 253 nt
Filed under: uncultured bacterium
Lineage: Bacteria
Description: partial 16S ribosomal RNA
Rfam family: Bacterial small subunit ribosomal RNA
Source: RNAcentral